This 50-nucleotide ribosomal RNA is filed under the name Zoophthora radicans. RNAcentral's name for it is "partial 25S ribosomal RNA". Lineage: Eukaryota; Fungi; Entomophthoromycota; Entomophthoromycetes; Entomophthorales; Entomophthoraceae. The record is from RNAcentral.
CUCAAAUCAAGCAAGGCGACCCGCUGAAUUUAAGCAUAUCAAUAAGCGGA